UUUACCCUGCGGUGUUCGAGAUUACAGGUGUGAAUCCCGGACCGAUAUUGUUAGCAUAGGGGGCUAGGUCGUUAGGAGAAGAUGGCAUGCCUUCAUUGGAAGUCAGACGCUCCGACGACGGUCACCCGCCCGUUACCAGAAGGGAACGGGAAAUCCGCCUAAACGGCAUCAGUGGGGUAAUA
RNAcentral lists this non-coding RNA (182 nucleotides) under Verrucomicrobiota bacterium. RNAcentral describes it as "6S RNA". It matches the Rfam family "6S / SsrS RNA". From Rfam's summary of the family: E. coli 6S RNA was the first non coding RNA to be sequenced, but its function was unknown until recently. It consists of 184 nucleotides that fold into an extended hairpin structure with a large single-stranded internal bulge. RNAcentral also lists the same sequence under 1 other name. Lineage: Bacteria; Pseudomonadati; Verrucomicrobiota. The record is from RNAcentral.